AGUAUUCUUGAUCCUUGAAUUCUGUGGAGCUCAAAUAGACAACAAAGCUUUAUGGAACUGAUUAGGUGUUAGCAUAAACAUAUAGCCUUUAUCAUGUUGAGCCUCCUUAAUAAAUGUUACUCUCUCUAUUUUUAUAUUUUCAUUUUUUAGAGCAGGAAUAUAUUUAUUUUAUUUGUUACGCCACCACUAUGAAUGUACUUAUGGGUUUUAUGCCAUGAGCAUACUCACAUGGGGUUUACAGGUUUUAACAUUUUUAUUUUAUUUUAGGAUAGUAUGAACAUGAUUAACUAAGUAAACUAUUUUAAAUAAUUGAAAGGAAAAGGAUAACUACCUAGCUUACCUCUUGGCAAGGCGUUCGGUGUUUUUAAGUCCUCUGAACGGGACUCUCCGUUUUCUCAAUCAUCCUGGGAUUCGCUGGAUGGCGUAGUCGGUGGUUCCGGUGGCGCCUCCUCUUCGUGUAUAACUAUCUUCUCUCUCCACACCUGACUCGGUGCUACGGUCUUCUUAGGACAAUUCUGUUCAAGCUGUAUGUCUUCAGACCUUACCACUUCUCCUUCGUAGUCAGCCCAUCCGUCCUUGAUGAUUUGCCUCCUCCGGUUGCGAUUGCGUCGUCUUCUUCUUGUCCUGACCUGCUUAGAGUCUUCAACUAUAUAAUUAGGGUCAGUAAAAUAGCAGUGUACCUUCUCUAUGGGG
RNAcentral lists this long non-coding RNA (693 nucleotides) under Sorghum bicolor (sorghum). Its description in RNAcentral is "long non-coding RNA (SBIC_LNC016108)". Lineage: Eukaryota; Viridiplantae; Streptophyta; Magnoliopsida; Poales; Poaceae. The record is from RNAcentral.